Molecule: long non-coding RNA, 345 nt
Filed under: Ananas comosus (pineapple)
Lineage: Eukaryota; Viridiplantae; Streptophyta; Magnoliopsida; Poales; Bromeliaceae
Description: long non-coding RNA (ACOM_LNC015483)
Source: RNAcentral
UGGACGAGGUAAAAAAGGACAAUUUUUUUAUUUUUGGAAAGGAUUUUUUUUUUUGGGUGAAAAUGUAUGGAGAUCCCUCAACUAUAGCCUAUUUUCAGAAUUAUCUCUUUCCUUUAUUUACAAGUAGGGGUGAUAAUCCAACUCGUUGUUUGCAAGUCAAUUCGUGUUCGGCUCGAAAUGAGCUCGAGAUCGAAUCCCCUAUUUAGUAAACGAGCCGAACACGAGCUGGGAUUAGCUCGUUCAUGUUCGGCUCGAUAACAACUCAAAUACAUAUAUUUUAUAUUUAUAUAAUUUAUUUAAUUUAUAUAUAUAAAUAAAUAAUUAUAUAUAUAAUAUAUAUUUUUA